RNAcentral lists this long non-coding RNA (1585 nucleotides) under Homo sapiens (human). RNAcentral's name for it is "HSALNT0365934". The record is from RNAcentral. Lineage: Eukaryota; Metazoa; Chordata; Mammalia; Primates; Hominidae.
AGGAGACCCGCCCCUGCACCGCCCCUCCUCCCGCUCCCCUCCCGGGCCCUCUGGUUGGGAGAGUGGAGAAGAGUCGAGAAGAGUGGAGAAGAGUCGAGAAGAGUGGAGAAGAGUCGAGAAGAGUCGAGAAGAGUGGACAAGGCGAACCGUCUGCAGCGAGGCGGGGCUGGGGGGCGCGGGGAGGACGGGGUUCAGGCCGGUGUCGCUCUCAAGGGGCAGCCCUGGUGUCACCCCCACCCCCUCCCACGCUGAAGCCUUCCGGCCGAGCUGUGGCAUCCACGCAAAUGGGGCCGCCUCGGCACCUCCAGGCCAGAAUUUAAAUGUUAUCAGCGGCAAUUGAUCUGCUCGGGACUGAGGUUUCGGGUCCUCUGCGGAAUUGGGAGGAGCGUGGAUGGUGAAGGAGCUGCUGCACUGUGGCACGGGCUUGGCCGGGGCUGCCUGGCUCUGAGCAGGCUCGUGGGACGGCCCUGUAAGGACCCCACUGCAAGAAGGGCACAGAAGCACCUGAGUUGGCGUCUCAGCAGGGACCCCCCCAGGAAAUGCCCUUCUACAGCUGGUACUCAAGCUCUUUACACACUUAGCCAUCGCUAUACACAGUCCACGCUUGUGCACCCACACCCACAAGCUUAUGCUCACGUGCACUUUUUUUUUUUUUUGAGACGGAGUUUCGCUCUUGUCGCCCAGGCUGGAGUGCAAUGGCGCCAUCUCAGCUCACUGCAACCUCCGCCUCCUGGGUUCAAGAGAUUCUCCUCCCUCAGCCUCUAGAGUAACUGGGAUUACAGGCGCGCGCCACCACACCUGGCUAAUUUUUGUAUUUUUAGUAGAGAUGGAGGUUUGCCACGUUGGCCGGCUGGUCUCAAACUCCUGACCUCAAGUGACCCGCCCGCCUUGGCUUCCCAAAGUGCUGGGGUUACAGGCAUGAGCCACCGAGCCCGGCCUCACAGGCGGAUUCUUGAAUCCGUGUGUAUAAUUCUUCUCUUACAGUCAUCCAGCAAACAUGUACAGACCCUGCUCACGUUUCCACAUAACCAUCCUCGUCUUCCUUUUCUAUCCUUCGGGUCCGCGCAUUUGCCAUCCAUACAUGUUACUGGAUACAGUUAGCUGGAACAUAUGAAAUGCCCUUUCCUAGCACACACAAUGGAUCUACGUAUGUACAGGCCUAAAAACAGAAUACACAUCCUACAUGACAUGUACACAUGUGCACACAGAAACAACAGCCUUCACGCCGUCUGCAUAUGCGGGCCAUGCCCAGGUCCCAGGCACACAGGCCAGGCGACAGUCCACUUCAUCACUCAAUUGCCUGCUCUCUUUUCCUCACUCCUUCCUCAAGCAGCUGUCCGUGGGGGAGAGCCUCUGCUCCUAGCUAUCGCAGUGUCUCUUCAUUCUGAGUUGAGCAUGGGAAACUGUGUGAUGUAGGGAAGGAUGGUGAUACCAGGCCUCUGGGAGCCUGGGCUUCAUAACACGCUAUUUUGCUCAUUUAUUUUUGUAUACCUUCACAUGCCUUGUGAGGCCUUCCAGAAAUAGAUGUUCAAAUCCUACCUCAGUUUCCUCAUCCAUAAAAUGGAUUAAAAUACUAUCUGCCUUA